Non-coding RNA from Schizosaccharomyces pombe (fission yeast), 201 nucleotides. The record is from the annotation of a GenBank genome assembly. NCBI's taxonomy places the organism in Eukaryota, Fungi, Ascomycota, Schizosaccharomycetes, Schizosaccharomycetales, Schizosaccharomycetaceae.
UUCCAUCCAAGAGAAUGAUAUCGUCAGAACCUUCAGCGUGAUUAAAAUGAUCAACAACGACAGAUUGACGUUCGGCCAGAAACAUAUCCAGUUGUCUUCCAAGCUCCCUUAUUCCUUCGGGAAGUUGAGAGCCUGCAACAACAAACAAGUUACCACCGCUUUGAACAAAUUCUAGAAGAGAUUUAGGGGAGAAAACAGGGC